CGACUCUGGUUUCUCUUCACACGCACAAGCUUUCGCCUUUACUAAAGACUUCCGUGGAGAGGAACACUUACGAGUUCAACGUAUUUUUGGAAGGGCUUUGCUUUCUGGCAGAGC
This 114-nucleotide small nuclear RNA is filed under the name Salmo salar (Atlantic salmon). RNAcentral's name for it is "U5 spliceosomal RNA (ENSSSAG00000122058.1)". It matches the Rfam family "U5 spliceosomal RNA". Rfam says of the family: U5 RNA is a component of both types of known spliceosome. The precise function of this molecule is unknown, though it is known that the 5' loop is required for splice site selection and p220 binding, and that both the 3' stem-loop and the Sm site are important for Sm protein binding and cap methylation. The record is from RNAcentral. Lineage: Eukaryota; Metazoa; Chordata; Actinopteri; Salmoniformes; Salmonidae.